CCUACGGGUGGCUGCAGUGGGGAAUAUUGGACAAUGGGCGAAAGCCUGAUCCAGCCAUGCCGCGUGUGUGAAGAAGGCCUUCGGGUUGUAAAGCACUUUCAGUGGGGAAGAAAGCCUUGGGGCUAAUACCCUCGAGGAAGGACAUCACCCACAGAAGAAGCACCGGCUAACUCCGUGCCAGCAGCCGCGGUAAUACGGAGGGUGCGAGCGUUAAUCGGAAUUACUGGGCGUAAAGCGCGCGUAGGCGGUCUGAUAAGCCGGUUGUGAAAGCCCCGGGCUCAACCUGGGAACGGCAUCCGGAGGGGUCAGGGGGGUGGGCGGGGGGGGGAGGUAGCAGCCCGGGGAGAGCGGUGAAAGGCGAAGAGAGGGGGAGGAAUCCGGGUGGAGAGGGCGGCCUUCGGAAUUGAGACGGCGGCUGGGGGGCGAAAGAGGGGGUAGAAAACAGGAUUGGAUACCCUAGUAGUC
Molecule: ribosomal RNA, 465 nt
Filed under: Vreelandella stevensii
Lineage: Bacteria; Pseudomonadati; Pseudomonadota; Gammaproteobacteria; Oceanospirillales; Halomonadaceae
Description: partial 16S ribosomal RNA
Rfam family: Bacterial small subunit ribosomal RNA
Source: RNAcentral